UUAUUGCACCUUGAUUUCUUGAUUUGGUUUGAUCUAUUUAAUGUCCUCACAGUAAAGUCCUUUGUCAGAAAGGGUGUGUCUAUCCACUUUUACGACAAUUGUGGGCUCAAAAUCAAAAAACAAAGCACGGCCUUGCUUGUCAUGCAAUCAKUAGCAAAGUCCUAUCAAAGGACUGUUAUCUUUCAGAUCAAAMAGUCCAAUGUUCCCUCAACACGUGCAUCUUUUCGGCGUAAAAGCUGUAAACGUCGGAUCGCAUCAUGUCAAUGUAAUUUUAAAUUUUGUGUGACAUUGUGCAAUUCAUCAAAAUGAAAAGCCGCGGGUUAAUACAGUGCGAAAUGUCUAAAAUGGUAAGCUGAAUGAUGAUUUUACUUUGAUUUCAGAAAAUAAAGCGACGUUCGAAGAGAAGUAGGACUUUAUCUCGUGGGGAGAGUGACUACAAAAGAACCAUUCGACUAAGUAGACAAUUGUCAGACCUUGUGACGUACACGCCGUCGAUUUCGUUUAAAGGGCUGGACAUCGAUGAAAACGCAUCAAGACUGGAAGUAGUUUCAAUCCCAGAAUCCAAGGCGUACCGUUACACUGACACUAAGGCCGCUCAAUUYGUUAAAUACACAAGAUGUAAGUUAUGCCGUAUUUACCCUGCUGGAUACAGGAUUGAUUCCAGCAACCCWAACCCACAAUGCUUUUGGAACUGUGGAUGUC
Exaiptasia diaphana is the source of this 702-nucleotide long non-coding RNA. RefSeq lists it as uncharacterized. Lineage: Eukaryota; Metazoa; Cnidaria; Anthozoa; Actiniaria; Aiptasiidae. The transcript is spliced from 3 exons. The record is from RefSeq and is a predicted model, not a curated record.